This 441-nucleotide ribosomal RNA is filed under the name uncultured bacterium. RNAcentral's name for it is "partial 16S ribosomal RNA". It matches the Rfam family "Bacterial small subunit ribosomal RNA", at positions 338 to 795 of the family's 1533-position model. The record is from RNAcentral.
CCUACGGGAGGCUGCAGUGGGGGAUAUUGCACAAUGGGGGGAACCCUGAUGCAGCGACGCCGCGUGGGUGAAGGAGUGCUUCGGCAUGUAAAGCCCUAUCGGCAGGGAAGAAGCAAGACGGUACCUGACUAAGAAGCCCCGGCUAACUACGUGCCAGCAGCCGCGGUAAUACGUAGGGGGCGAGCGUUAUCCGGAUUCACUGGGUGUAAAGGGAGCGUAGACGGCCAUGCAAGCCAGGGGUGAAAGCCCGGGGCCCAACCCCGGGACUGCCCUUGGAACUGCAUGGCUGGAGUGCGGGAGGGGCAGGCGGAAUUCCUGGUGUAGCGGUGAAAUGCGUAGAUAUCAGGAGGAACACCGGCGGCGAAGGCGGCCUGCUGGACCGCGACUGACGUUGAGGCUCGAAAGCGUGGGGAGUGAACAGGAUUAGAUACCCGAGUAGUC